Molecule: ribosomal RNA, 253 nt
Filed under: uncultured bacterium
Lineage: Bacteria
Description: partial 16S ribosomal RNA
Rfam family: Bacterial small subunit ribosomal RNA
Source: RNAcentral
GACGAACCGUACGAACGUUAUUCGGAAUCACUGGGCUUAAAGGGUGCGUAGGCGGCGCGACAAGUUGGGUGUGAAAUCCCUCGGCUCAACCGAGGAACUGCGCCCAAAACUGUCGUGCUCGAGGGAGACAGAGGUGAGCGGAACUUAGGGUGGAGCGGUGAAAUGCGUUGAUAUCCUAAGGAACACCGGUGGCGAAAGCGGCUCACUGGAUCUCUUCUGACGCUGAGGCACGAAAGCUAGGGUAGCGAACGGG